GAAUGAACGCUGGCGGCGCGCCUAAUACAUGCAAGUCGAGCGAGAAGACGUAGCAAUACGUUUGUAAAGCGGCGAACGGGUGAGGAAUACAUGGGUAACCUACCCUCGAGUGGGGAAUAACUAGCCGAAAGGUUAGCUAAUACCGCGUACGCUUCUUGGACUUCGGUUCAGGGAGGAAAGCGAUACCGUGGGUAUCGCGCUCUUGGAUGGGCUCAUAUCCUAUCAGCUUGNGGUGAGGUAACGGCUCACCAAGGCUUCGACGGGUAGCUGGUCUGAGAGGACGAUCAGCCACACUGGCACUGCGACACGGGCCAGACUCCUACGGGAGCAGCAGUAAGGAUAUUGCGCAAUGGGCGAAAGCUGACGCAGCGACGCCGCGUGGGGGAUGAAGGUC
RNAcentral lists this ribosomal RNA (394 nucleotides) under uncultured bacterium. RNAcentral's name for it is "bacterial SSU rRNA". It matches the Rfam family "Bacterial small subunit ribosomal RNA", at positions 27 to 416 of the family's 1533-position model. The record is from RNAcentral.